RNAcentral lists this ribosomal RNA (483 nucleotides) under Corynebacterium matruchotii. Its description in RNAcentral is "bacterial SSU rRNA". It matches the Rfam family "Bacterial small subunit ribosomal RNA", at positions 28 to 494 of the family's 1533-position model. The record is from RNAcentral. Lineage: Bacteria; Bacillati; Actinomycetota; Actinomycetes; Mycobacteriales; Corynebacteriaceae.
GACGAACGCUGGCGGCGUGCUUAACACAUGCAAGUCGAACGGAAAGGCCCGCAUCAUUUUUUUGGUGGGGGUGCUCGAGUGGCGAACGGGUGAGUAACACGUGGGUGAUCUGCCCUGUACUUCGGGAUAAGCUUGGGAAACUGGGUCUAAUACCGGAUAGGACCAUGGUUUAGUGUCUCAUGGUGGAAAGAUUAUUGUUUUGGUGCAGGAUGAGCUCGCGGCCUAUCAGCUUGUUGGUGGGGUAAUGGCCUACCAAGGCGUCGACGGGUAGCCGGCCUGAGAGGGUGGACGGCCACAUUGGGACUGAGAUACGGCCCAGACUCCUACGGGAGGCAGCAGUGGGGAAUAUUGCACAAUGGGCGCAAGCCUGAUGCAGCGACGCCGCAUGGGGGAUGACGGCCUUCGGGUUGUAAACUCCUUUCGUUAGGGACGAAGCCGCACCUUUUUUUGGGUGUGGUGACGGUACCUUUGUUAAGAAGCACG